AUUGAACGCUGGCGGCAUGCCUUACACAUGCAAGUCGAACGGUAACAGGUCUUCGGACGCUGACGAGUGGCGAACGGGUGAGUAAUACAUCGGAACGUGCCCAGUCGUGGGGGAUAACUACUCGAAAGAGUAGCUAAUACCGCAUACGAUCUGAGGAUGAAAGCGGGGGACCUUCGGGCCUCGCGCGAUUGGAGCGGCCGAUGGCAGAUUAGGUAGUUGGUGGGAUAAAAGCUUACCAAGCCGACGAUCUGUAGCUGGUCGGAGAGGACGACCAGCCACACUGGGACUGAGACACGGCCCAGACUCCUACGGGAGGCAGCAGUGGGGAAUUUUGGACAAUGGGCGAAAGCCUGAUCCAGCAAUGCCGCGUGCAGGAUGAAGGCCUUCGGGUUGUAAACUGCUUUUGUACGGAACGAAAAAGCUCCUUCUAAUACAGGGGGCCCAUGACGGUACCGUAAGAAUAAGCACCGGCUAACUACGUGCCAGCAGCCGCUGUAA
Molecule: ribosomal RNA, 498 nt
Filed under: uncultured bacterium
Lineage: Bacteria
Description: partial 16S ribosomal RNA
Rfam family: Bacterial small subunit ribosomal RNA
Source: RNAcentral